UGCAUCGAUGAAGAACGCAGCGAAAUGCGAUACUUGGUGUGAAUUGCAGAAUCCCGCGAACCUUCGAGUCUUUGAACGCAAGUUGCGCCCGAAGCCAUUAGGCCGAGGGCACGCCUGCCUGGGCGUCGC
This 129-nucleotide ribosomal RNA is filed under the name Cyamopsis tetragonoloba (guar). RNAcentral's name for it is "partial 5.8S ribosomal RNA". It matches the Rfam family "5.8S ribosomal RNA", at positions 29 to 154 of the family's 154-position model. From Rfam's summary of the family: 5.8S ribosomal RNA (5.8S rRNA) is a component of the large subunit of the eukaryotic ribosome. The record is from RNAcentral. Lineage: Eukaryota; Viridiplantae; Streptophyta; Magnoliopsida; Fabales; Fabaceae.